AACGAACGCUGGCGGCAGGCUUAACACAUGCAAGUCGAACGAUGUAGCAAUACAUAGUGGCGCACGGGUGAGUAACGCGUGGGAAUAUACCAAUCAGUGGGGAAUAACUUUGGGAAACUAAAGCUAAUACCGCAUACGCCCGAGAGGGGAAAGAUUUAUCGCUGAUUGAUUAGCCCGCGUGAGAUUAGGUAGUUGGUGGGGUAAUGGCCUACCAAGCCUACGAUCUCUAGCUGGUCUGAGAGGAUGAUCAGCCACACUGGAACUGAGACACGGUCCAGACUCCUACGGGAGGCAGCAGUGGGGAAUAUUGGGCAAUGGAGGAAACUCUGACCCAGCCAUGCCGCGUGAAUGAUGAAGGCCUUAGGGUUGUAAAGUUCGUUUCGCCGAUGAAGAUAAUGACGGUAGUCGGAGAAGAAGCCCCCGGGCUAACCUUCGUGCCAGCAGCCGCGGUAAU
Molecule: ribosomal RNA, 454 nt
Filed under: uncultured bacterium
Lineage: Bacteria
Description: bacterial SSU rRNA
Rfam family: Bacterial small subunit ribosomal RNA
Source: RNAcentral